RNAcentral lists this long non-coding RNA (1175 nucleotides) under Anser brachyrhynchus (Pink-footed goose). Its description in RNAcentral is "lncRNA (ENSABRG00000020978.1)". Lineage: Eukaryota; Metazoa; Chordata; Aves; Anseriformes; Anatidae. The record is from RNAcentral.
GUGCAUAUGACCUAGCCACUAGCUAGAAAGUUGCUGGCACGUUCUUCCAGUGCAAAAGAUGUGCCACAGGUGUCAUAUCCUCAGAGUUAAGCAAGUGAGUAGCUGGGCUCAGCUGCAGUGAAUUAGCCUCUCAGCUCACAAAACAGUAAGCUCUGAAAGAUUUAUCCCUAGAUUUGGAGUUGGAUUUAGAGUGAGGUCCACUAUGGAAUAAGGAGGGAGCAGUUAUAGGCAGCAAGUUUCUGGAUUUUCUUUAUUUGAGCUCCAGUUAAUGACUCACCUAAGCCACCUUUAGUGCAUGUUUGAAAGGAUGGGUCAGUUUUCAGCACUGUGUUAUGUGACUCGGUUAAAGGCAGAAUUUGGGCCAACAUGGCCCAUGAAUAGAGCAAGAUGUGUGACUCUUAGAAUCUAUUAACUACGUUCUAGAACCAAUUAAUGAGGCUAGCAGUUCUUAAGGAAAAAGAACAGAAAUUAAGCUGAGGUAUAUUAUUAAUAUCCAACAAAAACUAUCCCUACAUACAUGUUAGUUGUGGAGGUCUUUUCUUCCAUGAAUAUUAGACUCAGAAACAGUUUCUUGGUUUGCAAGAGUGAAUUUUGCUGAAAUUGCUAUUUUUUAGCUUGGCUUGUUUAGUGUUUUGUUUAUGGUCAGUACAAGUACCUAUGAAAAAUGAAAUUAAAAAUAUUUCUGCUGGUCUGGAGGAGGCGCAUUAGCAUUGUAGAGACUUUGAUUUUAAAACAUCUGUGAUUCUCUGUGAUUCCUAUAGACUAUAUCCAGAUUAUUGUUCCCUUAACAUCUUGCCUGUUUUGGAUCCCUCUUUCAGGCACCAUUUUCUUCUUGCAGUGUUUGGUUUGGACUGCAAUUGUCCAAAAUCCUCAAGUGACUAUUUUGGGGAAAGAAGAAGAACUUAACAUCUGUGAGAUUCCUCUCUGCAUCACCUAUGGACUGAGGAAGAAAAGUCUCCAUGCAAGUGUUUCAUAUCCACUAAAUAUAAAUUAGUUUCAUGCCAGAACAUCUUGAGGUAUAUAUGUAUACGAACAUGUAUUUUGAGAUGUUGUUUUGGCACGAGAGCUACUCUAAGCAAUUAUUUCCUUUCUUCAGAUAUUAACAAGUAAAAUACAAGAGAUGACUAAUGGAAGUUUGUUUGUUAUAGCCCCCAGCAACUAUUUCUGAUAUCUCU